Long non-coding RNA from Episyrphus balteatus (marmalade hoverfly), 355 nucleotides. RefSeq lists it as uncharacterized. The record is from RefSeq and is a predicted model, not a curated record. The transcript has 3 exons. Lineage: Eukaryota; Metazoa; Arthropoda; Insecta; Diptera; Syrphidae.
AACAAAAGAACAAAUUUCAACAAUAAAAUAGGAACUAUUUUAUUUCCACUCGAAACAAAAUUAUAUUAAAAUGUCCAUGAGCCUCUCAGAAUAGUCAUUCAUGGCAAAAGAAUUAUACAAUUCCAAUUGACAUUCUCCAAAACCGACGUCCAACAAGUACAAUCAAAUGACCCAUUCAUAACCAAACUUUAAAGUGGAACACUAUUCAAAGCUAGCUGCCGAAUUCUGGGACCCAGCUGGUCAACUCAAAGGGCCAUGAAUACAGUAAGAAUUAUAUUUUAUCGUGAUGGUUUCACCUCUGGUGGGCCUGUUGAUCCAGAGCUUCGACAUACAACAAAAGUUCUUAAAGACAAAC